UUCCUUUAAAGCCUCCCCCUAUUGGAUUUUCCCAUAUUCUGCCUUCCCUUCCCUUCCUUCAACGCGGUGUCGCCGCCCUUGUUACGUAAUUUAUUCAACAACUCCACCAGCUUCAUCCUAUAUAUAGAGAUACACGCCCACCCGAAUUAACCUCUCAUCGAAUUUCGACAUUUACAUUAUUUCGAGUCAUUUUCUGACCUUUUUUUGUGGGAAAAAUGAGUAACUACAACCAGAAUCAGCCCCAGGGUAUCUGUGCAUCUAUUUUUUUUUUUAGUAAUGUUUUCUUGAAAAAGGGUUUAUAAUUAUGGUUUUUGACUGUUUGAAUUUGUGGGUUUUUACCGCAGUAUAUCCUCCGCCAGGUACUGCAGAGCCACAGGGUGUUCCAUACAUGGCUCCACCACCGCCGGCCGGUUACCCCAUGAAAGAUGGUCAUGGCCAACCACCAAUUGAUCCGGCACCGGCAGAAACUCAGUCGAGAGGUGAUGGCUUCUGGAAGGGAUGGUGAGUUAUCUCAGAUGUCUAUUAGGCUGUAUGGAAACGGAGACAGAAAUGGAAAACCAAACACAACAAGUGGAAAUAAUGAUCAUUUUAUUUUAUUAAUAUUUAAUUUUUGAAAAGGAUAAUUCACAUUCAAAGCAAUUUUCUUUAUUCCGGACACAUGCCUAAUAUCCAAACUCUUCAUAAGUUUCAAGAAAAUUUCAGACUUCGAGAAAUUAUUUUUUUAUUUUUAUUUUUUAAAUAGGAUUCAUAAUUCAAAAUCAACCUUUAAUUUGAAUCUUGGACUUACGUUGAACUUUGACUAAGAAUACACUGAUAGUUUCUAAAAAAUUUCCAUUUAAUUGGAAUUUCGUCAAUGAUAUUAUGAAAAAGAACCAUGCUUCUCUGUCAGAAAAUACAUGACAGAAGGGCUGACCUACACACAUUUGGGGGUAAAAUCACUUCUUCCUCCCAAUUGUUUAUUCAUACAGGCCCUGACGGUUGUGAAAGGGUGUCAAGCCCUUUGUCAUCCUUUUUUUGGGCCGAUGAGCAUUUUCCUAUGAAAAAAUAAAUUAAAUGAUAUAAUAUUCAAAUAAUCAGAGUGUACUUUUAAAAAUGUAAUUAUAAUAAUUAAGGAUUAAACCAUAGUGUUUGAUUCACCAAAUAAUCAUUACAUUAUAUACUCUUAAUAUCAUAUAUGUAUGGCAGCUCUAAUUUUAUUUUUAACAUUUUUGGAAUGUAUACAGCUAACUUAAUUAUAAGAAAUUCCCUCUUGACGGUGUUAAAUAUAUUAUAUCUGAAUCUUAGAUUUGAAAAUAUAUAGAAUUCGUCCGUAAAAACAUAUAAGAAAGCAAAAAAGAAAAUUAAAAAAUAGAACCAAUUAAAUAGAAAUAAUGAGUUCCAAUACAAAUUCAAUGGAGUACAUUAUAUAAUGUAAUUUAGAUGGAUAUUUUAUCGAGUUAAAAUAUUAUAUUUCCAAUUAUGUGAUUUUUAUAUCUGACCUAUUUUGAAAUCGAAAUACCUAACAUAAUUAAUAGAUAUUUCUUCUGACAAUGAAUCGAUAGUAUAUAUUUCUAUUCCUUUUUGACAAUAAUAUAUAACUAUGUAAAUCCUGGAUGUGAAAAUAUGCGCAAUUCGUCCGUGGAAGUUAUAAAAAAACAAAAAGAAUAUGCUAGGUUUAUGCAAUAAAAUAAGAACCGAUGAGAUAGAAAUACUUAGUUUGAAUUUACUAUUUCGAUAGUAUAGAUGUGAUUUUCUAUUUCCAGUUUUGAGCCAGUGAUUGAUGAAAUUUCCUGAAAACUUGUUUACAGUUGCGCUGCCUUGUGUUGCUGCUGUGUGUUGGACGCAUGUUUCUGAGAAGUGUGACUCAUUGUCUAGUUGCCCUCUAUGAAAAGGCAGCACAAAAAUUGUUUAAUCCGAUUUUUUUUUUUUUAUUUACAUAUCAGUGAUUUGUUUCCUGGAAUAAGCACUUUCUGACUUUCUUCUCUUGUUGAUUUUAUUUUAUUUUUAUUUUUAUUUUUUGGUUGUCGUCAUAAUGUCUAAAAUCUAGUAACAUUGCCUUUUAUUUUCAUUUAAUGUAAAUGGUGCAAGCAUACUUUGCUUGGUUCAGUUCUCAUGUAAAUUUACGUUCCGUGAUAAUUUUGUUUUUCUUUUGUGAAUACUAGUAUGUGUGAACGUGGGGUUAGCAAUGUUAAAAAAUGGAUAUGAG
RNAcentral lists this long non-coding RNA (2185 nucleotides) under Olea europaea subsp. europaea. The record is from RNAcentral. Lineage: Eukaryota; Viridiplantae; Streptophyta; Magnoliopsida; Lamiales; Oleaceae.